Long non-coding RNA from Oncorhynchus tshawytscha (Chinook salmon), 1681 nucleotides. The record is from Ensembl. Lineage: Eukaryota; Metazoa; Chordata; Actinopteri; Salmoniformes; Salmonidae.
AAAAUUCAUGUUUUGAUGUUUAUUUUACUAGGAAAGUCAGUUAAGAACAAAUUCCUCAUUUCAAAGACAGCCUAGGAACAGUGGGUUAACUGCCUUGUUCAGGAGCAGAAAGACAGAUUUUUAACUUGUUAGCUCGGGGAUUCGAUCCAGCAACCUUCCGGUUACUGGCCCAACGCUCAAAACACGAGGCUACCUGCCGCCCCCAAUGUAAUAUGUAAUAAAAACAUUAAUUCCAUUUAUGUGAUGUCAUAGUUUCUCUUUGAUUUGAUUUUUUAAAAAUGGCCUACCUUAGUAUGGGAGUAAUUAUAGGUCAUAUUUGUUGUUUAAAAAAAAAAAACAUCCGAAAUUAUAACAUGACAUUUCUGUAAUCACUCCCCCCAAAUAAUGAUAAACAUGUUAUUAUUGGUGUGCAUUAACAAGUAAAUCUGAGUUAUGAAAAACAAACCUUAUACUGAAGAGUGCAAAUAUCAGCCAGCUUUUCCAGACUUCCAUUCAACACAUAUCCAACCAAGCUACAGUCCAGGUGUGGACUUUUCCCAGUAUUUUGUGCUUGAGGAGAAGCCUAACGUGAGCAAUGUAUUGCAGCAAAUUCUUUGACGUUCAUUCCUACAUAGAAGAAAAUAUAUUUUGAUAACUUUUGAUAUUUAAAAUAUAUUAAUUUAAUUGUUUUUGUGAAACUUGAAUUUCCAAAGUGCACAAGACCGAAAUGAGAAACUGACCGUCUUCCCAUGACCCAAAUCGUCCUCAAACGACACAAAUUAAGAAAAAAAAUUGUAUGUGAUUUUCAAUUUUUUUCUCAUAACUCAUGGGCCACUAGAUCAAGGGCCAGUAUCCACCUGGACAGAUGAAUCUGAGUCCUGGACUAAAAAAUUUUUUUCAAUGGAGAUUGGAGUUAGAUCUGGCUCCAUCUAUUCUACUCUACUGUGCUCUAUUCUAUUAUACUCUAUUCUGCUCUACUUUACUCUAUUCUACUGUACCGCAGAAUGACAGAUUUGUACCUUGUCAGCUCUGGGAUUUGAACUUGCAACCUUCCAGUUCCUAGACCAAUGCUCUAACCACUAGGCUACCCUGCAGCCUCUACACUCUAACCACUAGGCUACCCUGCAGCCUCUACACUCUAACCACUAGGCUACCCUGCCACCUCUACACUCUAACCACUAGGCUACCCUGCCGCCCCCACACUCUAACCACUAGGCUACCCUGCCGCCCCUACACUCUAACCACUAGGCUACCCUGCCGCCCCUACACUCUAACCACUAGGCUACCCUGCCACCUCUACACUCUAACCACUAGGCUACCCUGCCGCCACUACACUCUAACCACCAGGCUACCCUGCCGCCACUACAAUCUAACCACUAGGCUACCCUGCCGCCCCUACACUCUAACCACUAGGCUACCCUGCCGCCUCUACACUCUAACCACUAGGCUACCCUGCCGCCCCUACACUCUAACCACUAGGCUACCCUGCCGCCACUACACUCUAACCACUCGGCUACCCUGCCGCCUCUACACUCUAACCACUAGGCUACCCUGCCGCCACUACAUUCUAACAUUCUAACCACUAGGCUACCCUGCCGCCUCUACACUCUAACCACUAGGCUACCCUGUCGCCCUGGCUAGGUUACUUUCUAAAUGUAAUCCGUUACAGUUUCUAGUUACCAGUCAAAAAUUGCAAUCAGUA